UACGUAGGGGGCUAGCGUUGUCCGGAAUCAUUGGGCGUAAAGAGCGUGUAGGCGGCCCGGUAAGUCCGCUGUGAAAGUCGGGGGCUCAACCCUCGAAUGCCGGUGGAUACUGUCGGGCUAGAGUGCGGAAGAGGCGAGUGGAAUUCCUGGUGUAGCGGUGAAAUGCGUAGAUAUCGGGAGGAACAUCAGUGGCGAAGGCGGCUACCUGGCCCAAUACUGACACUCAGGUGCGACAGCGUGGGGAGCAAACAGG
This 253-nucleotide ribosomal RNA is filed under the name uncultured bacterium. RNAcentral describes it as "partial 16S ribosomal RNA". It matches the Rfam family "Bacterial small subunit ribosomal RNA", at positions 524 to 776 of the family's 1533-position model. The record is from RNAcentral.